GACGAACGCUGGCGGCGUGCUUAACACAUGCAAGUCGAACGGAAAGGCCCUGCUUUUGUGGGCUGCUCGAGUGGCGAACGGGUGAGUAACACGUGAGUAACCUGCCCUUGACAUCGGGAUUACCUCAGGAAAAUGGGGCUUGUACCGGAUAGGAGCUCCUGCAGCAUGGUGUGGGUUGGAAAGUUUCGGCGGUAGGGGAGGGACUGGCGGGUUAUCAGCUUGCUGGUGUGGUAGUGGCUUACCAAGGCUUUGACGGGUAGCCGGCCUGGGAGGGUGAGCGGGUACAUUGAGAUUGAGACAGGGACCAGACUCCGACGGGAGGGAGCAGUGGGAAAGAUUGAAUAAUGGGCGGAAGCGUGAUGCAGCAGCGGCGAGGGCGGGAUAACGGCCAGCGGGUUGUAAAGUGAUUUCGCCUGUGACAAAGCGAGAGUGACGGUAAUAUAUAAAGAAGCACCGGCUAACUACGUG
This 468-nucleotide ribosomal RNA is filed under the name uncultured bacterium. Its description in RNAcentral is "partial 16S ribosomal RNA". It matches the Rfam family "Bacterial small subunit ribosomal RNA", at positions 28 to 507 of the family's 1533-position model. The record is from RNAcentral.